This is a long non-coding RNA of Canis lupus familiaris (dog), 517 nucleotides long. RefSeq lists it as uncharacterized. The record is from RefSeq and is a predicted model, not a curated record. NCBI's taxonomy places the organism in Eukaryota, Metazoa, Chordata, Mammalia, Carnivora, Canidae. The transcript is spliced from 3 exons.
CUGCUCUCCAGGCAUAAGAGAAAGGCAACCUGUGACUGCUUGUGGAGGGAGUGGGACGGGCUGUGAAUAUUGUUUCUGUAGGUGGUGAGUACACCCAUUGGGUGCAGGCAGAUGCCCUCCAUGUAAGAGGAGCAUUUCAAGGACAAGGCGCUGUGGGUUUUGGCAGAGAAUCUCUGAAGCACCGUGGCAAACUCAAGAGUAAAGAAUGUGGUUUGGAAACCAUUGCAUUGAGAGCAUUUCCAGAGAUUUCAGAUCGCCAGCAACAGCAGCAGCAUUUUGGGAGUGAAGUCACCAAAGCUGCACAUGCUUCAUUUCCACAGGAAUCCAGAUGUGGGACUCUUAUGGUCUGAUUGCCGAGCAGGGGGAUCAGGAGCAUGGAUCGUGUGUCCUGCAGAAAGACAAUGCCGGCAUUCAAAAAUGUUCACCACGGAAAUAUUUUUGAUGAUGUUGACCGUGAGCACUUCAUCGGGCUCCUCUGCUGACUUUUCAGUGCAUUAAUCCCGAGUUCUUCAGGCCC